AUGCGUGCCAAGUCUGCAGACACAGAGGAAUAACUUUUCCAUGUAGGUUGAGCUUGUCUAAGCUUUUGUGGUACAAAGAAGCACGGCAAGGUGAUGGAACAGCUUGUCCUAGAUGCCAUGGCCAAGCAGUUGGAGAAGAAGAAGAUCAUCAGGAAUAGUCAGCAUGGAUUUAGCAAGGGGAAAGUGUGCUUGAGCAACCUCCUAGGCUUCUGUGAGGCAUCAGCAGCUAUAUGGAUGGCGGGAGAGCAAUGGAUGUAGUCUACCUUGACUUCAGCACUGCUUUUGAUGCAGUCUCCCACGACAUCCUGAAGUGCAGUGUUUCAGAAGAGAGAAAAACAAACAUGGCGGCCAUGAGCUGGCUUUCUGUGGUUGGUAAAGCUGUGCUGAGAUCUGGGCUGACUAUUGCAGCUGAAAAUGCGUGCCAAGUCUGCAGACACAGAGGAAUAACUUUUCCCCCCAGGUGGAGCUUGUCUAAGCAAGGAGAGAUUUGAGGUGCUGUUUGGUAAUGGAAGACGGAGAGAGGAAGAGCUGUGCAUAGCCAGCGCAUCCCAUCUGCACCGUUGUUCCCAUGCACAAAGGAGAGGAGCAUCUCAGCAAGCAUGGCGUGGGCCGUGGAAGGGAGCAUACAAACAUCUGGACCAACCCAAAAGGAGUUAGUUCUGCAGGUUGGUUGCUUUCUGCUGUUUGUCCCACAUCCUGUUGCUCAGUGGUAGAUUUGUUCACGUUCAGCGCUAGCAGGAAUGUC
This is a long non-coding RNA of Gallus gallus (chicken), 745 nucleotides long. RefSeq lists it as uncharacterized. The record is from RefSeq and is a predicted model, not a curated record. NCBI's taxonomy places the organism in Eukaryota, Metazoa, Chordata, Aves, Galliformes, Phasianidae. The transcript is spliced from 4 exons.